GCUGAGGAUGUAGCUCAGUGGUACAGUGCUUGCCUAACAUGUAGGAGGCUCUAAGUUCAAUCCCCAGCAACAAGCA
Molecule: transfer RNA, 76 nt
Filed under: Marmota monax (woodchuck)
Lineage: Eukaryota; Metazoa; Chordata; Mammalia; Rodentia; Sciuridae
Description: tRNA.Val
Source: RNAcentral